Molecule: ribosomal RNA, 301 nt
Filed under: uncultured bacterium
Lineage: Bacteria
Description: partial 16S ribosomal RNA
Rfam family: Bacterial small subunit ribosomal RNA
Source: RNAcentral
CAGCAGCCGCGGUAAUACGUAGGGUGCAAGCGUUAAUCGGAAUUACUGGGCGUAAAGCGUGCGCAGGCGGUUAUAUAAGACAUAUGUGAAAUCCCCGGGCUCAACCUGGGAACUGCAUUUGUGACUGUAUAGCUAGAGUACGGCAGAGGGGGAUGGAAUUCCGCGUGUAGCAGUGAAAUGCGUAGAUAUGCGGAGGAACACCGAUGGCGAAGGCAAUCCCCUGGGCCUGUACUGACGCUCAUGCACGAAAGCGUGGGGAGCAAACAGGAUUAGAUACCCCUGUAGUCCCUGUCUCUUAUAC